GCUGGGCACUGUGGCCCAUGCCUAUAAUCCCAGCAACUUGGGAAGCUGAGGGAGGAGGCCAGUCUGGGCAACUUAGCAAGAUCCUGUCUCAA
This 92-nucleotide small RNA is filed under the name Marmota monax (woodchuck). Lineage: Eukaryota; Metazoa; Chordata; Mammalia; Rodentia; Sciuridae. The record is from RNAcentral.